AAUGUUAAAUGGAAAUAUAUAUAUACAAUUUCCCAAAUGACUUUGGAUAUUUUAGGACCCAGACCUUUCCUUGCCAGUCAUAGUGGGCGGGCUGCUGAUGUGCUCCAAUAACCAAUGGUUGCUUAAAGCGCCUGCGACGUCACAGCGUGAUCAAACAGUCUAGUUUCACUUUCUUUUCACCGUAAAUGGUGGGUGUUUUUGUGAUCAAGCUAGGCUAGACUAACAACAUCUGAAAGUAUUUGGGUUUUUUUUUUUUCUUCUUCAUCCCAGCGUCUUCUCUUUUGCUCCUGCAGGCUCAGCUUGCACUGCAGGUGAAAUCAUGGAUGGUUUGCUUAAGGAAAUAAGAUGCAAGGAUGAAGCAGCAGCCUCUGUACUGGAACAGGCAGGUUUGAGCAGUGACUCAGAUCUCCAGUCACUGACUUUACAAGACCUGAGUGAGCUGUUCCCUGGAGUUAAAAAUGUCAAACUGAGAAGGACAAUCUUUGAUGUAGUACACAAGCAGAAACCAAUUGAUGUGCUCAUAGAAGAAUUCAAGGACUUCAUCCCACAUGAAUCUCUCAGGGCUGCCUUAACCGAAAAUAGAGUCUUGGUCGAUUACCUGAAAAUGUUGAAGGAAAUGAAGACCCAAAUGAAUAAUGAUUUCCUUGAUCGACAUAUCAGUCUGUUGGAGGACUUCAGGAAAUCUCAACCAUCGCAGGACCAGGACAAAGAUGAAAUCAUGGAUGGUUUGCUUAAGGAAAUAAGACGCAAGGAUGAAGCAGCAGCCUCUGUACUGGAACACGCAGGUUUGAGAGCUGACUCAGAUCUCCAGUCACUGACUUUACAAGACCUGAGUGAGCUGUUCCCUGGAGUUAAAAAUGUCAAACUGAUAAGGAAAAUCUUUGAUAUAAUACACAAGCAGAAACCAAUUGAUAUCCUCAUAAAAGAAUUCAAGGACUUCAUCCCACAUGAAUAUUUCAGGGCUGCCUUAACCGAACAUGGAGUCUUGGUCGACUACCUGAAAAUGUUGAAGGAAAUGAAGACCAAAAUGAAUAAAGUGCAGGAUUUCCUUGAUGCUCAUAUCAAUCUACUGGAGGACUUCAGGAAAUCUCAACCAUCACAGGACCAGUACAAAGCCCUGAUUUGUCCCAGCUGUGUUUCCCUCCUGUCUAUCAUUCCCUGAUUGCUCCCUCUGUGUAUAUUAGCCCUGUGUUCUCUUUGGUCUGUGUCGUAGUCUCCCUUAGCUACACUCAUCGUGCUGUGUAUUCUGCCUGCCUGCCAGUGAGAGGAAUGAGGUACAACACAAGGUGGCCCCACUGAGCAGCUUGGCUCGGUGAAGUGCGGCUAUCAAGCUGAGGUAUGACUGUGAUGACAGCGAUUAUAUGUGCAGGCGGGGCUGUGCGCAAGUCAUCACAGGCAUCGCCAUGAUCCACUGGGGAAUCCUUCAAAACGGAAGCGCUGGAGAAGUGGACAUAUACGUGCCAGGCGUCGCCUGGUAAGGUCCGUGCCAGGCAACCCUAGCUUUUUAGGACUUUAUUCUGCCCUCAAACAGCGGUGCCUUCUUCCUGUUUACCCAACGUCAUCGAAGCACGCUCACCUGACGCAGUUUUAUUGGUCGCCAUGGAGGUGGAGCAAAUAUAAACAACUUGCAGUUACUGCAUAUCCAUCCUGCUACCACAGAUGGACAGAGUUAAAUUGGCUCUCUUAAAUGCAAGAUCUGUAAACAAAUAAAACUUGCCUCUAUCAUCAAAGCUUUUAAGUGCAAACAAAUACAAAGUCCUGGUGUUUUUACUUCAUUUGAGUCCCAGCUCCUGACUUUAAGCUGUCCUGCGGAUCUAAUUAGUCAUCUAUCGUCCACCUAAACAUAAUGACUUGUUUAUUUCAGAUUUUUUUUUUUUUUUGUUGUUGUUAUCCCUCACUAUGAAAGGAUUCUUAUAGUGGGGGACUUUAAUAUUCAUCUGUGUUGUGAGGAUAAACCCCUUGUCAAAAUUUCUUAAACGUAAUUGAUUCCUUAAACUUCACACAAUUUGUGUCAGGGCCAACACGUAAGGGCCACACCCUAGACCUUGUCUUGGGUUAUGGACUGAAUGUAUCGGUGACUGAAAAUUGUGUUUUACCUAUUUUAGACCACUCAGAAAUUUUAUUUGAUAUUUUAAUCCCCUAAAUCUCCAGCUCUGAGAGGGGAAAAUUGCUCCUAAGAUCAUCUCGUCAUAUUAGUCCCGAAGCACUGCGAACAUUUACCUGAUGUGUUGGCCCCAUUUUUACCCAGGAGUUAUGUGUGGACACCUUGACUCCAAACCUUAAUAAUACACUUCUUGAGCUACUGGACUCUGUUGCUCCUGAAAAGAAGUUAAAAUGUCAAAAAAAGAACCCUAUGCCCAGGCUACAUGAGGAGCUCUUGAAUUUGAGAAGAAAUUGUCGAAAAGCAGAGUGUUGCUGGUGAUCUUCCAGACCAGAAGUAUUUCUCCAGGCUUGGUACGACUCUUUGUCUUUUUUUUCAAUCAGCGAUGUCAGCAGCGAAAGCAAAUUAUUUUUCGAAUCUCAUCAUGAGUCAUAAGCUUAACUCAAAACUAUUAUUCAACACCCUGUCACAACUUAGAGUAAGUCGACUCUCUGCUGUUCAAAUUUGACAGCAUAUGACUUAUGUUUUUCAGCGACAGGGCUGCAACCCACCUUGAGCUGUUCAUUAGACUACUCAGCUGCUUUACCUGCUGGUGCUGAUAAACUGUUCUCUGAC
Molecule: RNA transcript, 2716 nt
Organism: Oreochromis aureus
Lineage: Eukaryota; Metazoa; Chordata; Actinopteri; Cichliformes; Cichlidae
Exons: 11
Source: RefSeq, a predicted model, not a curated record